GCUCAUUUGAAGGCAGCGAACCGCUUUCCUUUAACGCGCCAUUACUCUUUCUCUCGUAAAGCCGUCGGGCCACCUUUUCAGCCCGUGUUUGGUUUUCCUCAGUCAGAGGAAGUGGUGAAUGUGCUUCCUGUACCGUCUCUCCCCCCCCCUUCCUCCCCCCUCCAGACCUGUAGUGAAUGCAGAGAGAGAGAGAGAGAGAGAGCGAGAGAGAGAGCGGAGGGGAAAGCUGAGCUCAAGCGAAAGAAGGUUAGCCAGCAGCGAGUGAAGAAAAUGGCGAUCAUGCAGGACGAAUUCCUCCCCUCGUAGACGCUGCAAACGCGUUGAAAUUCUUGUAGCCUUACAGCCGGCUUUCCUUUCCACUCGGUUGCACUUUAUACUUCAAUGAGAGAUUUGGAAUCGAAAGCUGUUGCCACCAAAGAAGCAUCGAAACAGCCCAUCCUCAUCUCGAGGUGGGACCAAAAAAAAACAAGCCGCAUUAUUCUUAGUAGUGGAGACG
Long non-coding RNA from Gasterosteus aculeatus aculeatus (three-spined stickleback), 496 nucleotides. The record is from Ensembl. Lineage: Eukaryota; Metazoa; Chordata; Actinopteri; Perciformes; Gasterosteidae.